RNAcentral lists this ribosomal RNA (349 nucleotides) under uncultured bacterium. Its description in RNAcentral is "bacterial SSU rRNA". It matches the Rfam family "Bacterial small subunit ribosomal RNA", at positions 71 to 422 of the family's 1533-position model. The record is from RNAcentral.
CAGGUGUAGCAAUACAUGCUGACGAGCGGCGGACGGGUGAGUAAUGCUUCGGAAUCUACCUAGUAGUGGGGAAUAACUAACCGAAAGGUUAGCUAAUGCCGCAUACGACCUAUGGGUGAAAGCGGGGGAUCGUAAGACCUCGCGCUAUCAGAUGAGCCGAAGUCGGAUUAGCUAGUUGGUAGGGUAACGGCCUACCAAGGCGACAAUCCGUAGCUGGUCUGAGAGGACGACCAGCCACACUGGGACUGAGACACGGCCCAGACUCCUACGGGAGGCAGCAGUGGGGAAUAUUGGACAAUGGGGGCAACCCUGAUCCAGCGACGCCGCGUGUGUGAAGAAGGCCUGCGGG